This 1346-nucleotide ribosomal RNA is filed under the name uncultured bacterium. Its description in RNAcentral is "partial 16S ribosomal RNA". It matches the Rfam family "Bacterial small subunit ribosomal RNA", at positions 28 to 1381 of the family's 1533-position model. The record is from RNAcentral.
GACGGACGCUGGCGGCGUGCUUAACACAUGCAAGUCGAACGGAAAGGCCCUGCUUUUGUGGGGUGCUCGAGUGGCGAACGGGUGAGUAACACGUGAGUAACCUGCCCUUGACUUUGGGAUAACUUCAGGAAACUGGGGCUAAUACCGGAUAGGAGCUCCUGCUGCAUGGUGGGGGUUGGAAAGUUUCGGCGGUUGGGGAUGGACUCGCGGCUUAUCAGCUUGUUGGUGGGGUAGUGGCUUACCAAGGCUUUGACGGGUAGCCGGCCUGAGAGGGUGACCGGCCACAUUGGGACUGAGAUACGGCCCAGACUCCUACGGGAGGCAGCAGUGGGGAAUAUUGCACAAUGGGCGGAAGCCUGAUGCAGCAACGCCGCGUGCGGGAUGACGGCCUUCGGGUUGUAAACCGCUUUCGCCUGUGACGAAGCGUGAGUGACGGUAAUGGGUAAAGAAGCACCGGCUAACUACGUGCCAGCAGCCGCGGUGAUACGUAGGGUGCGAGCGUUGUCCGGAUUUAUUGGGCGUAAAGGGCUCGUAGGUGGUUGAUCGCGUCGGAAGUGUAAUCUUGGGGCUUAACCCUGAGCGUGCUUUCGAUACGGGUUGACUUGAGGAAGGUAGGGGAGAAUGGAAUUCCUGGUGGAGCGGUGGAAUGCGCAGAUAUCAGGAGGAACACCAGUGGCGAAGGCGGUUCUCUGGGCCUUUCCUGACGUUGAGGAGCGAAAGCGUGGGGAGCGAACAGGCUUAGAUACCCUGGUAGUCCACGCUGUAAACGGUGGGUACUAGGUGUGGGGUCCAUUCCACGGGUUCCGUGCCGUAGCUAACGCUUUAAGUACCCCGCCUGGGGAGUACGGCCGCAAGGCUAAAACUCAAAGGAAUUGACGGGGCCCCGCACAAGCGGCGGAGCAUGCGGAUUAAUUCGAUGCAACGCGUAGAACCUUACCUGGGUUUGACAUGGAUCGGGAGUGCUCAGAGAUGGGUGUGCCUCUUUUGGGGUCGGUUCACAGGUGGUGCAUGGCUGUCGUCAGCUCGUGUCGUGAGAUGUUGGGUUAAGUCCCGCAACGAGCGCAACCCUUGUUCACUGUUGCCAGCACGUUAUGGUGGGGACUCAGUGGAGACCGCCGGGGUCAACUCGGAGGAAGGUGGGGAUGACGUCAAGUCAUCAUGCCCCUUAUGUCCAGGGCUUCACGCAUGCUACAAUGGCUGGUACAGAGAGUGGCGAGCCUGUGAGGGUGAGCGAAUCUCGGAAAGCCGGUCUCAGUUCGGAUUGGGGUCUGCAACUCGACCUCAUGAAGUCGGAGUCGCUAGUAAUCGCAGAUCAGCAACGCUGCGGUGAAUACGUUCCCGGGGCU